GUGAAAUUUGUUGCUCCUCAUUUACCUGCAAGGGAAAUGUAGCACUCUUGUUUCCUACGUAUCCCGAUACGACAUGACUUUGUAUGGAAAGAACCCUUGGUGAUUUUCCCAUGAUUGCACUGUUUGUUAGCUUAAUUCCUUAUGCGAAACAGGAAAACGGGUAAACGAGUCUCUGUGCAUCCACAAUACUAGGGUUCUACCGUUUCGGAAUGUUACGUCGACAUGAUUUUUUAUCACGUGAAUCAAUUGAAUUCAAGCCGAGCCGUGCAGCAGACGCUUCUCUGUGUAGUGUUUACUAUUGACUUAUAUAGUAUGGAUAUGGAAUCAAUACACGGGGCAAAUGUAUGAAGAGGAAUUAUUUAAUAAUGUCACUUUGCUACGGAGCAUAGAUGUUGCAGAUAUACCACCACUCCACAUUGUUUUCUGAUCUCUUUGCGGAAUGCAAAGGACUAUGACGUAUACCCGUUUUGUAAACAGUGAAGACGUGUUAGUUUGACGUUUGAUAAAAUCUUUUCCAGCUGUUGCAGUGGUCUUUCUAUUUCGGUAU
Schistocerca nitens (vagrant locust) is the source of this 547-nucleotide long non-coding RNA. RefSeq lists it as uncharacterized. The transcript is spliced from 3 exons. The record is from RefSeq and is a predicted model, not a curated record. Lineage: Eukaryota; Metazoa; Arthropoda; Insecta; Orthoptera; Acrididae.